Molecule: transfer RNA, 73 nt
Filed under: Bos taurus (domestic cattle)
Lineage: Eukaryota; Metazoa; Chordata; Mammalia; Artiodactyla; Bovidae
Also listed under: 1 other name
Rfam family: tRNA
About the family: Transfer RNA (tRNA) molecules are approximately 80 nucleotides in length. Their secondary structure includes four short double-helical elements and three loops (D, anti-codon, and T loops).
Source: Rfam by way of RNAcentral
UCCCUGGUGGUCCGCUGGCUAAGACUCUGCGCUCCCAGUGCAAAGGACUCAGGUUCAAAUCCUGGUCAGGGAG